RNAcentral lists this ribosomal RNA (460 nucleotides) under uncultured bacterium. Its description in RNAcentral is "partial 16S ribosomal RNA". It matches the Rfam family "Bacterial small subunit ribosomal RNA", at positions 338 to 795 of the family's 1533-position model. The record is from RNAcentral.
ACUACGGGAGGCAGCAGUGAGGAAUAUUGGUCAAUGGGCGGAAGCCUGAACCAGCCAAGUAGCGUGCAGGAUGACGGCCCUACGGGUUGUAAACUGCUUUUAUACGGGAAUAACGCGCCUUACGUGUAGGGCUUUGCAUGUACCGUAUGAAUAAGGACCGGCUAAUUCCGUGCCAGCAGCCGCGGUAAUACGGAAGGUCCGGGCGUUAGCCGGAUUUAUUGGGUUUAAAGGGAGCGUAGGCCGCAUGUCAAGCGUGCUGUGAAAUGUCCGGGCUCAACCCGGGCCUUGCAGCGCGAACUGGCGUGCUUGAGUCCGCGGAAAGCAGGCGGAAUUCGUCGUGUAGCGGUGAAAUGCUUAGAUAUGACGAAGAACCCCGAUUGCGAAGGCAGCUUGCUGCAGCGGAACUGACGCUGAUGCUCGAAAGCGCGGGUAUCGAACAGGAUUAGAUACCCUGGUAGUC